CCUACGGGAGGCAGCAGUGAGGAAUAUUGGUCAAUGGCCGGAAGCCUGAACCAGCCAAGCCGCGUGAAGGAUGAAGGUGCCAAGCAUUGUAAACUUCUUUUGUCAAGGGACAAAAUCAGGCUCGAGAGCAUGACCGAGGGUACUCGAAGAAAAAGCAUCGGCUAACUCCGUGCCAGCAGCCGCGGUAAUACGGAGGAUGCGAGCGUUAUCCGGAUUUAUUGGGUUUAAAGGGUGCGUAGGCGGGCUGUUAAGUCAGCGGUAAAAGCCCGGGGCUCAACCCCGGCGAGCCGUUGAAACUGGGGGUCUUGAGAUGUCGAGAGGUAUGCGGAAUGCGCAGUGUAGCGGUGAAAUGCAUAGAUAUUACGCAGAACUCCGAUUGCGAAGGCAGCAUACCGGCGGCGAACUGACGCUGAGGCACGAAAGCGUGGGUAUCGAACAGGAUUAGAUACCCCUGUAGUC
RNAcentral lists this ribosomal RNA (459 nucleotides) under uncultured bacterium. RNAcentral describes it as "partial 16S ribosomal RNA". It matches the Rfam family "Bacterial small subunit ribosomal RNA", at positions 338 to 795 of the family's 1533-position model. The record is from RNAcentral.